AAUUUUUAAAUUUCUGUGUUUUGACCUUUUGAAAAGAAAGUUUUAUUCUUGCUUGCUAUUAACUAUUUUUAUUAAGUAAAUAUAUUUUUUUAUAGAUUAAUGUUUGUAUUAUUUAUAUUUAAAUAAAUUUAAAUAAUGUUUUAGAAAUAAAUUUAAAAGGGGUCAAAAUUGUGCCAGCAACUGCGGUUAGACAAUUGCUUUAAUUUAAUAUUAUAUAGAUUUUAAUUAUUUGAUUGAUUUUAAUCAAAUAUAUAAUUUAAGGUGAAAUUUAAUUAUAUUUUUUAUAUAAAAUUUUAAUAUUUUAAAUAAAUUAUUUUAUAAACUAGGAUUAGAUACCCUACUAUAAAUAAUGUGAAUAAUAAUCUUAGGUAGUAAAUGUUAUAACCAGGAAACUUAAAGAAUUUGGCGGUAUUUAUUCUUACCAGAGGAAUAUGUUUUUAGAUUGAUUUUCCCCAUAUAUCUUACUCUAAUUUUUUAUAUUUUGUAUACCUCCGUCUAAAAAUUUUUCUAAAAUAUAUUUUAAGUUUCUAUAAAGAAAUAAGUCAGGUCAAGGUGCAGGUUAUAUUGGAGUUAAAAUGUAUUACAAUAAAUUUAUUUUUGGAAUUAAAAUUAAAAAUUUUGGUUAAAAUUGGAUUUGAAAGUAAAUUUAUUUUUAUUAUAAUAAAUUGAAUCAAGUAAAUAAAUAUGCACAUAUUGCCCGUCAUUCUCUUUUAUAAAGAGACAAGUCGUAACAAAGUAGAUUUACUGGAAAGUGAAUCUGUUUA
Molecule: ribosomal RNA, 764 nt
Filed under: Stenopsocus immaculatus
Lineage: Eukaryota; Metazoa; Arthropoda; Insecta; Psocodea; Stenopsocidae
Description: 12S ribosomal RNA
Source: RNAcentral